UGCACCACAAGAUGGGUACAUUAGUUCCAUAUGAUGGUAAGCCUAAAUUUGCCCAGCUAUAUAUACAUGAUACUGAUCAUGAAAUUGAAAAUAGAAUAAAAGCAUUGUUCAAAGAAGAUGAUUUUGAUGGUGAAUUGGAUCGCAAUAUUGUCGCAAAAAUAAUGGAAAUGUUAAAUGAUGUGAACCCACUUGUGAAACAAUUUAGAAUUGCUGGAGAACGACUUAGCGACUGCCCUGAUGAACAUGUGGUAAUUAGGCUAUCAGCUCCUCAGCUUAACACUGAUAUCUAGUAUAAUUUACCAACAUUUGAUGACCUUGCUCUUUUUAUACGUGAUUAACAUGGCUCAUGAUACCAUAUGAUACGGGGCAAACCCGGUGUAGGCCGAUCUUUCACUAUUGGAGUGGGAUCCCUCGAAGAACACAAAGAAGACGGGGAAGAAUGGAGAGAAAUCACAAGGGGGAACACUGAAGACCAAGUCCAAUCACACAUCCAUUAGACAAUCAAACACACAAGAUCCACAAGGUACAUGAACAACAAAAGGAAAGAUACAAGGUAAAGUUCAUCUCCAAGAGGAGGUCUUGAUGAGGGGUCCUCCCAUGAGGGGAUCUUGAUGAUAUCCCGCAGGAUCUUCUCCUAGAUGGAGGUCUUGGGCUCCAAUGGAGUGGUAUUCUCUCUCUCUCUCUCUCAACAGUAGAGAUAGGUAGGAGCAAAGCUCACAUACAAAUGAG
RNAcentral lists this long non-coding RNA (729 nucleotides) under Triticum aestivum (bread wheat). RNAcentral's name for it is "long non-coding RNA (TAES_LNC027299)". The record is from RNAcentral. Lineage: Eukaryota; Viridiplantae; Streptophyta; Magnoliopsida; Poales; Poaceae.